GACGAACGCUGGCGGCGUGCUUAACACAUGCAAGUCGAACGGAAAGGCCCUGCUUUUGUGGGGUGCUCGAGUGGCGAACGGGUGAGUAACACGUGAGUAACCUGCCCUUGACUUUGGGAUAACUUCAGGAAACUGGGGCUAAUACCGGAUAGGAGCUCCUGCUGCAUGGUGGGGGUUGGUAAGUUUCGGCGGUUGGGGAUGGACUCGCGGCUUAUCAGCUUGUUGGUGGGGUAGUGGCUUACCAAGGCUUUGACGGGUAGCCGGCCUGAGAGGGUGACCGGCCACAUUGGGACUGAGAGACGGCCCAGACUCCUACGGGAGGCAGCAGUGGGGAAUAUUGCACAAUGGGCGGAAGCCUGAUGCAGCAACGCCGCGUGCGGGAUGACGGCCUUCGGGUUGUAAACCGCUUUCGCCUGUGACGAAGCGUGAGUGACGGUAAUGGGUAAAGAAGCACCGGCUAACUACGUG
RNAcentral lists this ribosomal RNA (468 nucleotides) under uncultured bacterium. RNAcentral describes it as "partial 16S ribosomal RNA". It matches the Rfam family "Bacterial small subunit ribosomal RNA", at positions 28 to 507 of the family's 1533-position model. The record is from RNAcentral.